Molecule: non-coding RNA, 45 nt
Organism: Tribolium castaneum (red flour beetle)
Lineage: Eukaryota; Metazoa; Arthropoda; Insecta; Coleoptera; Tenebrionidae
Source: Rfam
UAAAUGGCUUUUAUGAAAGCCACUAGCAUCUCAAUCAGAUUUUUU